UCAGUAACGGCGAGUGAAGCGGCAACAGCUCAAAUUUGAAAUCUGGCACCCCUCCCGGGGGGUGCCCGAGUUGUAAUUUGCAGAGGAUGCCCUUGGCGAGGCGCCUUCCGAGUUCCUGGAACGGGACGCCGCAGAGGGUGAGAGCCCCGUAGCGGUCGGUCGCCACAGCCUGUGUAGGGCUCCCUCGAAGAGUCGAGUAGUUUGGAAAUGCUGCUCAAAGCGGGAGGUAAUUCUCUUCUAAAGCUAAAUACCUGCCAGAGACCGAUAGCGCACAAGUAGCGUGAGCGAAAGAUGAAAAGCACUCUGGAGAGAGGGUCAAACAGUACGUGAAAUUGUUGAAAGGGAAGCGCUAGCGGCCAGACGUGGGCCGGCGGCUCCCCCGGCGUUCUUCGCCGGUCCGCUCCGCCCGGCCCAGGCCAGCAUCGGUUUCCGCGGGGGGAUAAGGGUGGUGGGAACGUGGCUCCCCCUUCGGGGGGGGUGUUAUAGCCCGCCCCUCGAUGCCCCCGUGGGGACCGAGGAUCGCGCCUCGUGCGAGGAUGCUGGCGUAUUGCCCGCUUACGAACCGUUUUGAAACACGGACCAAGGAGUCGUCCACUGGAGCGAGCGUUAGGGUGUAAAACCGGUACGCGUAAUGAAAGUAACAGGUGAGAGCCUCGGCGCAUCAUCGACCGAUCCUGAAGUGCUCGGAUGGAUUUGAGUAGGAGUUCCAGCGGACGGACCCGAAAGACAGUGAACUAUGCCUGUAUAGGGUGAAGCCAGAGGAAACUCUGGUGGAGGCUCGCAGCGGUUCUGACGUGCAAAUCGAUCGUCAAAUAUGGGCAUGGGGGCGAAAGACUAAUCGAACUGUCUAGUAGCUGGU
This 859-nucleotide ribosomal RNA is filed under the name Tirisporella beccariana. Its description in RNAcentral is "eukaryotic LSU rRNA". It matches the Rfam family "Eukaryotic large subunit ribosomal RNA", at positions 80 to 955 of the family's 3401-position model. Lineage: Eukaryota; Fungi; Ascomycota; Sordariomycetes; Tirisporellales; Tirisporellaceae. The record is from RNAcentral.